RNAcentral lists this ribosomal RNA (404 nucleotides) under uncultured bacterium. Its description in RNAcentral is "bacterial SSU rRNA". It matches the Rfam family "Bacterial small subunit ribosomal RNA", at positions 355 to 776 of the family's 1533-position model. The record is from RNAcentral.
UGGGGAAUAUUGGGCAAUGGGCGCAAGCCUGACCCAGCAACGCCGCGUGAAGGAAGAAGGCUUUCGGGUUGUAAACUUCUUUUAUCAGGGACGAUAAUGACGGUACCUGAUGAAUAAGCUCCGGCUAACUACGUGCCAGCAGCCGCGGUAAUACGUAGGGAGCAAGCGUUAUCCGGAUUUACUGGGUGUAAAGGGCGUGUAGGCGGGACUGCAAGUCAGAUGUGAAAACUCGGGGCUCAACCCCGAGCCUGCAUUUGAAACUGUAGUUCUUGAGUGGUGGAGAGGCAAAUGGAAUUCCUAGUGUAGCGGUGAAAUGCGUAGAUAUUAGGAAGAACACCAGUGGCGAAGGCGAUUUGCUGGACACUAACUGACGCUGAGGCGCGAAAGCGUGGGGAGCAAACAGG